GACGAACGCUGGCGGCGUGCCUAACACAUGCCAGUCGAACGGAAAGGCCCUGCUUUUGUGGGGUGCUCGAGUGGCGAACGGGUGAGUAACACGUGAGUAACCUGCCCUUGACUUUGGGAUAACUUCAGGAAACUGGGGCUAAUACCGGAUAGGAUCUCCUGCUGCAUGGUGGGGGUUGGAAAGUUUCGGCGGUUGGGGAUGGACUCGCGGCUUAUCAGCUUGUUGGUGGGGUAGUGGCUUACCAAGGCUUUGACGGGUAGCCGGCCUGGGAGGGUGACCGGCCACAUUAGGACUGAGAUACGGCACAGACUCCUACGGGAGGCAACGGUGGGGAGUAUUGCACAGUGGGCGGGAGCCUGACGCGGCAACGCCGCGUGCGGGAUGACGGCCUUCGGGUUGUGAACCGCUUUCGCCUGUGACGAAGCGUGAGUGACGGUAAUGGGUGAAGAAGCACCGGCUAACUACGUG
This 468-nucleotide ribosomal RNA is filed under the name uncultured bacterium. RNAcentral describes it as "partial 16S ribosomal RNA". It matches the Rfam family "Bacterial small subunit ribosomal RNA", at positions 28 to 507 of the family's 1533-position model. The record is from RNAcentral.